CUAUUGGAAAGUAAUUUGAAAUGGUCAGAGACAGGCAUUGUACAGAUGAGAGGAAGUUAUCUUUAUUAAGUAAUCAAUGAUAUCUUUAGAACAUCUGAUACUUCUAAUGCUUUAUCAAAACUAUACAAUCUUAAUACCUGAGAGAAAGCAAUGCAGUGAUUCUAUAAACAGAGAGAAGAGGGAAAGCCAGAAGAGAGGGAGAGGGAUUUAAAUUUAAUUAGCUCUGAAGGCCAUUUCUAUGAUCUUUUAUGUUUUCCUGUGAUCUUUUCUUUAAAAUUGUUCUUUUCAUAAGAAUUUGUGCAUUUUGACAAUGUUUUCCAGUUUUUGAUUCUACUGAUAUGGACUUGUAUGUCUAGGGCAGAUUGGAGAGUGUGUGUAGGUCUUUACCAUAUAUGUGGUGGUGGCGAAGCCUGCUUCCAGAAAGUGCUUUCCUCUGUGAUCUUCCUGGACAUUUCUGCUUGAUGAUGGGGUGGGGAAACUGUAAGAGAUUAUUUUGAGGUCUUUAUUUUUGAAGAACAAGUUUAGCCUUAGUGUUUUGGAUUGUAUUCUUACAGCAUUUAUUCUAAUGACUAACCUUACAUGUCUUUAAUCUCAUGGAAACCUAGUCUGCUUUUUAUAUAUUUAAUUCACUACAUGGUUAAAGCUCUUUCCUGUUCUUUUAUAUGCGUUGUGUCUUUUCUUUACAUUAUAGUUGUUUGACAGAUUUAAUCGUUUAUGCCAGAUUUUGUUCCCUGUUCAAAGUGUGUUUUUGUGCCAGUGAACUGUUAUAAAUUUUUUGUGUAAACAUACCCAUUUGUAUCCUGCCACUUAUAACCUUUUUCUUUUCAUCCUUGUACCAUCUUAA
RNAcentral lists this long non-coding RNA (844 nucleotides) under Bos taurus (domestic cattle). Its description in RNAcentral is "long non-coding RNA NONBTAT000226". Lineage: Eukaryota; Metazoa; Chordata; Mammalia; Artiodactyla; Bovidae. The record is from RNAcentral.